Molecule: ribosomal RNA, 448 nt
Filed under: uncultured bacterium
Lineage: Bacteria
Description: SSU rRNA
Rfam family: Bacterial small subunit ribosomal RNA
Source: RNAcentral
AGAACGAACGCUGGCGGCGCGCCUAACACAUGCAAGUCGAGCGCCUCGCUUUCGGGCGGGGAGCGGCGCACGGGUGAGUAACGCGUGGGAAUCUACCCUGGGGUUCGGGACAACGGCGGGAAACUGCCGCUAACACCGGAUACGGCCUUUUGGCGAAAGUUUACGCCCUGGGAUGAGCCCGCGUCCGAUUAGCUAGUUGGUGGGGUAACGGCCCACCAAGACUGCGAUCGGUAGCCGGUCUGAGAGGAUGAUCGGCCACACUGGGACUGAGACACGGCCCAGACUCCUACGGGAGGCAGCAGUGGGGAAUCUUGGACAAUGGGGGCAACCCUGAUCCAGCGACGCCGCGUGGGUGAUGAAGGCCUUCGGGUUGUAAAGCCCUUUUGUCGGGGACGAUGAUGACGGUACCCGGCGAAUAAGCACCGGCUAACUCCGUGCCAGCAGCCGC